Molecule: ribosomal RNA, 464 nt
Filed under: uncultured bacterium
Lineage: Bacteria
Description: partial 16S ribosomal RNA
Rfam family: Bacterial small subunit ribosomal RNA
Source: RNAcentral
GACGAACGCUGGCGGCGUGCUUAACACAUGCAAGUCGAACGGAAAGGCCCAGCUUGCUGGGUGCUCGAGUGGCGAACGGGUGAGUAACACGUGGGUGAUCUGCCUCUAACUUCGGGAUAAGCUUGGGAAACUGGGUCUAAUACCGGAUAGGACAAUCGUUUAGUGUCGGUUGUGGAAAGUUUUUUCGGUUAGGGAUGAGCCCGCGGCCUAUCAGCUUGUUGGUGGGGUAAUGGCCUACCAAGGCGUCGACGGGUAGCCGGCCUGAGAGGGUGGACGGCCACAUUGGGACUGAGAUACGGCCCAGACUCCUACGGGAGGCAGCAGUGGGGAAUAUUGCACAAUGGGCGCAAGCCUGAUGCAGCGACGCCGCGUGGGGGAUGACGGCCUUCGGGUUGUAAACCUCUUUCGACAGGGACGAAGCUUUGGUGACGGUACCUGUAUAAGAAGCACCGGCUAACUACGUG